CAGUCGCCGCGGGAAUACGGAGGGUGCAAGCGUUAUCCGGAUUUAUUGGGUUUAAAGGGUCCGUAGGCGGAUCUGUAAGUCAGUGGUGAAAUCUCACAGCUUAACUGUGAAACUGCCAUUGAUACUGCAGGUCUUGAGUAAAUUUGAAGUGGCUGGAAUAAGUAGUGUAGCGGUGAAAUGCAUAGAUAUUACUUAGAACACCAAUUGCGAAGGCAGGUCACUAAGAUUUAACUGACGCUGAUGGACGAAAGCGUGGGGAGCGAACAGGAUUAGAGACCCCCGUAGUCCCUGUCUCUUAUAC
Molecule: ribosomal RNA, 301 nt
Filed under: uncultured bacterium
Lineage: Bacteria
Description: partial 16S ribosomal RNA
Rfam family: Bacterial small subunit ribosomal RNA
Source: RNAcentral